Molecule: ribosomal RNA, 253 nt
Filed under: uncultured bacterium
Lineage: Bacteria
Description: partial 16S ribosomal RNA
Rfam family: Bacterial small subunit ribosomal RNA
Source: RNAcentral
AACGUAGGUUCCGAGCGUUAUCCGGAUUUACUGGGCGUAAAGCGUGCGUAGACGGUUAUUUAAGUCGGGUGUGAAAGCCCCGGGCUCAACCUGGGAAUUGCAUUCGAGACUGAAUAGCUAGGGUACGGUAGAGGGAAGCGGAAUUUCCGGUGUAGCGGUGAAAUGCGUAGAUAUCGGAAGGAACAUCAGUGGCGAAAGCGGCUUCCUGGACCAGUACCGACGUUCAGGCACGAAAGCGUGGGGAGCAAACAGG